This is a non-coding RNA of Triticum aestivum (bread wheat), 135 nucleotides long. NCBI's taxonomy places the organism in Eukaryota, Viridiplantae, Streptophyta, Magnoliopsida, Poales, Poaceae. The record is from Rfam.
AUAAUACUCCCUCCGUCCCAAAAUUUUUGUCUUAAAUUUGCGUAAAUACAGAUGUAUCUAAUACUAAAACGUGACUUAAUACAUCUGUAUUUAGAAAAAUCUAAGACAAGAAUUUUGGGACAGAGGAGGUAGUAC